Molecule: long non-coding RNA, 3026 nt
Organism: Triticum aestivum (bread wheat)
Lineage: Eukaryota; Viridiplantae; Streptophyta; Magnoliopsida; Poales; Poaceae
Exons: 8
Source: RefSeq, a predicted model, not a curated record
CUUCCUCACGAAGCAACCUCGCGUUUCCUCUCUUCCUCCCUUCCCUAGGUUGCCGCCGCCCCCGUCCCCGCCCCCGCCCCAUCAGUGCAUCGCAGCUCCUCCGUCGUCCGCCACCAGAGAAACUCCUUCGUCGACCGCCACCAGAGAAAGCGCCCUCCUCAGAUCCACCUCUCCCCAAACCAUCCAUCAUGGUUGCAGAGGAGGGGGAGAAAGGGGAUGCCAUCGAGGUGCGGACAGAGGCCCUGCCUCGGGGCGGCGAGUUGCAGAGGAGAUUCUUUGGUCGUUUUACGCGAGGUGGGUCUGGAGAUGCGCCACAGUGGCGCGGCGUGGGUUUGCGUGCGUGCGUUGGGCGGCAGGUGGUCAAAGAACGUGGUGGCGCAGUCGCGUAACUCGAUCCCUCCACUACGCCGAGAAAUUACAUUUGGUCGCUCCAAUAGUGUAAGUGGCUAUCAAGAAACAUGUCAGGGAUCCAGCGCCUAUGUUAGGAGAUGUGCAACAUAUGUACUUUAUUGUAGGUGUUUUGUUCAGUGAAAAUUCCUCUGGAGUACUAGGAGCUUCCAUGGUUGGCAUUUAAGUCGGUUUGUCCAGAUUGUUUAUCGUUGAUAGCAAAGUAUUCCGGAGCCUCUGUGAAACACUCCCUGAAGUUGAAGAAUGGUCUAAGAUUAAUUGAGAUUUUCUUGUUGUGUGUGAUAGCAAACAUGGAUUGGUCAAGGAUUCUGCAAUGUUUGCUUGAAAUUUGCUCUGGAGAUCCAUGGUGGUAGGGAUUCAGCUCCUGUUAAUAAUAUAUAUCCAGCACCCGACAUGAAACUAUUGUUAAUGAAAGUUGUGGCACUAGGUCAAACAUUAUGUUGUUCCCGUAUUACAUUGGAGAAUAUUCAGGAUGUUUCUAUAGGGACUAUGAGAAAUUCAGCUUUCCAAAAUAGUGGAGUGAUACUUGCAGCAACAAGUGUUCAUUGGAUAAUGGCUCCAGCUAAGGAAUUGAAGAGAAUUCUUGGCCCAAUUUUAUUUACUCUGUGUUCAUCCCCUGACGCAACAUACCCGGCACAGGAAUUAAAGACAGGAUCGCUAAGUUGACUAGCCUAUUAAACACAAUAAGGGUCGCUACAAGGGCGAGCGCUCGUUUUGAACACCUCUCCAUUUUUUACUGUGCCGGGUUUUACUGUAGCGACGAAGGGAGAAACAAAUCGAGCGACUCUUCCCCUCGCCAAUGCCCUCUUUUGUUUUCUCCUCCCACAGCUAGGGUUAGUGCCGCCGCCGCUGCUGCCGCCCUUCCCGCCCUCGUGCGCUCUCCAUCUCCGGUCGGGAGCUCCACCUCCUCCAAUCCCUGCCUGUGCUCUGUGUCUCCUUCCCUUUUGAUUUAAUCUCUGUUAUCUUGGUUUGUGCAGAUUCUUUUGUAUAUAGUCUAUAAGGUGUUUGAUGAAAUGCAAGAAGGCAGCUGGGGACGAGAUCUGCCUGCAGAGGUUGUUGCUUUACCAUCACUGUUCUUGUGUCGUGCCUAAUGGGAUAUUGAAAUAUGGAUACCACAAAUUAAAGUGACAUUGGUGAUUCACACCGACAAGCCAUAUGAUGGAGUAUGGGAGGCUUUAGAUGUGGCUGCAUGGAAGCGUUUGUCAAGUUGGUCAGUGACCAGUUCUGCUCGCUGUUUUCAGAAAGUAAAAUGUGCGAAGAUACAACAUUGAUGACGGGCUUGCGACUCUCAACGCCCUCGACCCCCACCAUUCCUCUCUCUCCAUUUUGGUCUCGUCCGCUAUCCACUAGAUAGGAAGACAAACAGGUGCUUCCUCUAGCCUGCUCCACGUAGGUUUUAGUUUUACAGUGAAAAGCUGGACAAUUUGUGAUGGCGAUGAAAGGACUGAAGGAUUUGCUCAAAGCAAAGGCGUCUAGCCGGGAUACAUAUGUCUAUUAUUGCCGUUGUUUUCUUGGGAGUACUUCAGAAGGUGCAGUUGGGAAGGUGAGGACACGCCAUGGCAGAGGCGCGUGGUUGGCAAGAGGAGUCAGUGAGGCAUGCCGGUGGACAUGUGGAUGCUUUAUCAUGGCAUUGACACAUUUCACUCCACCGACACUGCAUACCAACGUGAGGCCUUAGAUGCUCUGUUCCUUCUGUGAUAGGUUGCAUUAUACUGAGAAAGUGAGGUAUUACUUAUUGGUUGGAGUGGUUCAUCUUGUUUCCCGGCAUCAAUGACGCGUGUCUGGUCAUGACUCAAGGCAGUAUUCAUGGCUAUGGGUUAGCCAUAUGCCCCAAGAACUCCAAAUGGCUCUAGAAAAUCUAAGUGGCGAGUCUUUUUUGAUUUGUUUAACUACCAAAUGAAGCUAUCAUCGUUAUUCUUUGGAUAUUUGCUGAUCAAAUUAGCAACAUGAUGUUACUAGGUUCUUACAGUUACACGUUACAUUUUCAACACUCAUGGUGUGCAGUGUGUAUACAAGGCACCUUAGUCCUUCAGUCGAUUUGAGUAUUUAAAAUAAAAUCAUCAAGUAGUUAUUUUGUUAUUUUGUAAAAUAUACAAUCUAGAUUUCUAGCUUCCAUGAGGCACAUGAUGUCUCUUCCAGCAUUCUAAUUUUCUCGUAAGUUUUGAUUCAUGAACCUAGCAUGAUCUUCUAUGAUUGUGUGACUGUCAUCUCCUUAUUUUUCCUAAACUGGUGCUAGGUUUUGAACUAUUGUUGCAUAUACACCAUAAGUUAUGCUCCUUUAAUAUGAAUUUUUCUUCUAAAAGACUACUGGGUGAUCUAUGCGAAAUAUGUUCCGGAGAAGUUUAAGCUCCUUCUCAUCUUAGCUAAUUGAAAUGUUUCAAAGUAAUCUGGAAUGGUUUUGGUCAAAAUUUGUGCUCUCAUAGUCAUUGUUCUUCUUAACUAUCCCAACUCCCAUUUUACUGUUUCUAGGUGUGAGUAAAACUGAAAUUUAUAGUUUCAUACCUAAAGUUAUAUUUGGUAGUCAUUUAGCAAAGUCAUUGUUGCUCUAUAUCUGUAUACCCUUUGAAUAAUUGUUAAUUGUAUGAGAACAUUUUAUUGCAGCGCCCCUGUUUUUAUUU